GAGUUUGAUCGUGGCUCAGAACGAACGCUGGCGGCAGGCCUAACACAUGCAAGUCGAACGAUAAGCCACCUUCGGGUGGUGGACAGUGGCAGACGGGUGAGUAACGCGUGGGAACGUGCCUUUCGGUUCGGGAUAACCCAGGGAAACUUGGGCUAAUACCGGAUACGCCCUUCGGGGAAGGAUUCAUUGCCGAAGAUCGGCCCGCCGUCGGAUUAGCUAGUUGGUGGGGUAAGUGGCCUACCAAGGCGACGAUCCGUAGCUGGUCGUGAGAGGAUGACCAAGCC
Molecule: ribosomal RNA, 284 nt
Filed under: uncultured bacterium
Lineage: Bacteria
Description: partial 16S ribosomal RNA
Rfam family: Bacterial small subunit ribosomal RNA
Source: RNAcentral